GGGAGGUAGUUGACAAUAAAUAACAAUACAGGGUUCUUUUGGAUCUUGUAAUUGGAAUGAGAACAAUUUAAAUCUCUUAACGAGGAACAAUUGGAGGGCAAGUCUGGUGCCAGCAGCCGCGGUAAUUCCAGCUCCAAUAGCGUAUAUUAAAGUUGUUGCAGUUAAAAAGCUCGUAGUUGAAUUUCGGGAUCAAGGGAUCGGUCAUGCCUUGGUAUGUACUGGUUUCAUUGGUUCUCACCUUCUAAAGAACCAUGAUGUCAUUCAUUUGAUGUUAUGGGAAAUUAGGACUGUUACCUUGAAAAAAUUAGAGUGUUUAAAGCAGGCUUUACGCUUGAAUACAUUAGCAUGGAAUAAUGAAAUAGGACAUCCGAUUCUAUUUUGUUGGUUUCUAGGAUCGAUGUAAUGAUUAAUAGGGAUAGUUGGG
This 424-nucleotide ribosomal RNA is filed under the name uncultured Glomeraceae. RNAcentral describes it as "SSU rRNA". It matches the Rfam family "Eukaryotic small subunit ribosomal RNA", at positions 459 to 886 of the family's 1831-position model. The record is from RNAcentral. Lineage: Eukaryota; Fungi; Glomeromycota; Glomeromycetes; Glomerales; Glomeraceae.